This 277-nucleotide ribosomal RNA is filed under the name uncultured prokaryote. Its description in RNAcentral is "partial 16S ribosomal RNA". It matches the Rfam family "Bacterial small subunit ribosomal RNA", at positions 524 to 800 of the family's 1533-position model. The record is from RNAcentral.
GACGUAGGGGGCGAGCGUUGUCCGGAAUUACUGGGCGUAAAGAGCACGUAGGCGGGAACUUAAGUCAGGUGUGAAAGACCGAGGCUCAACCUCGGGUAUGCACUUGAAACUGGGUUUCUUGAGGGCAGGAGAGGAAAGCAGAAUUCCUGGUGUAGCGGUGAAAUGCGUAGAAAUCAGGAGGAAUACCAGUGGCGAAGGCGGCUUUCUGGACUGACCCUGACGCUGAGGUGCGAAAGCGUGGGUAGCAAACAGGAUUAGAUACCCUGGUAGUCCCUGA